AAUCCAUAGGUUAAUGAGGCGAACCGGGGGAACUGAAACAUCUAAGUACCCCGAGGAAAAGAAAUCAACCGAGAUUCCCCCAGUAGCGGCGAGCGAACGGGGAGGAGCCCAGAGCCUGAAUCAGCAUGUGUGUUAGUGGAAGCGUCUGGAAAGGCGCGCGAUACAGGGUGACAGCCCCGUACACAAAAGCGCAUGUGCUGUGAGCUCGAUGAGUAGGGCGGGACACGUGGUAUCCUGUCUGAAUAUGGGGGGACCAUCCUCCAAGGCUAAAUACUCCUGACUGACCGAUAGUGAACCAGUACCGUGAGGGAAAGGCGAAAAGAACCCCGGCGAGGGGAGUGAAAAAGAACCUGAAACCGUGUACGUACAAGCAGUGGGAGCACAGGUUUACCUGUGUGACUG
Molecule: ribosomal RNA, 402 nt
Filed under: Salmonella enterica subsp. enterica serovar Infantis
Lineage: Bacteria; Pseudomonadati; Pseudomonadota; Gammaproteobacteria; Enterobacterales; Enterobacteriaceae
Also listed under: 9 other names
Description: partial 23S ribosomal RNA
Rfam family: Bacterial large subunit ribosomal RNA
Source: RNAcentral